AAAUUGAAGAGUUUGAUCAUGGCUCAGAUUGAACGCUGGCGGCAGGCCUAACACAUGCAAGUCGAGCGGUAGCACAGAGAGCUUGCUCUCGGGUGACGAGCGGCGGACGGGUGAGUAAUGUCUGGGAAACUGCCUGAUGGAGGGGGAUAACUACUGGAAACGGUAGCUAAUACCGCAUAACGUCGUAAGACCAAAGUGGGGGACCUUCGGGCCUCAUGCCAUCAGAUGUGCCCAGAUGGGAUUAGCUAGUAGGUGGGGUAACGGCUCACCUAGGCGACGAUCCCUAGCUG
RNAcentral lists this ribosomal RNA (290 nucleotides) under Klebsiella quasivariicola. RNAcentral describes it as "partial 16S ribosomal RNA". It matches the Rfam family "Bacterial small subunit ribosomal RNA", at positions 1 to 289 of the family's 1533-position model. Lineage: Bacteria; Pseudomonadati; Pseudomonadota; Gammaproteobacteria; Enterobacterales; Enterobacteriaceae. The record is from RNAcentral.